Molecule: transfer RNA, 65 nt
Filed under: Dipodomys ordii (Ord's kangaroo rat)
Lineage: Eukaryota; Metazoa; Chordata; Mammalia; Rodentia; Heteromyidae
Rfam family: tRNA
About the family: Transfer RNA (tRNA) molecules are approximately 80 nucleotides in length. Their secondary structure includes four short double-helical elements and three loops (D, anti-codon, and T loops).
Source: Rfam by way of RNAcentral
GGUGGCUCAGUGGUAGAGUACUUGUCUUGCAUGCACGAGGCCCUGGGUUCAAUUCCUCAGCACCA